RNAcentral lists this ribosomal RNA (253 nucleotides) under uncultured bacterium. RNAcentral's name for it is "partial 16S ribosomal RNA". It matches the Rfam family "Bacterial small subunit ribosomal RNA", at positions 524 to 776 of the family's 1533-position model. The record is from RNAcentral.
UACGUAGGGUGCAAGCGUUGUCCGGAAUUAUUGGGCGUAAAGAGCUCGUAGGCGGUCUGUCGCGUCUGCUGUGAAAACCUGGGGCUUAACCCCGGGCCUGCAGUGGGUACGGGCAGACUAGAGUGCGGUAGGGGAGACUGGAAUUCCUGGUGUAGCGGUGAAAUGCGCAGAUAUCAGGAGGAACACCGGUGGCGAAGGCGGGUCUCUGGGCCGUAACUGACGCUGAGGUGCGAAAGCGUGGGGAGCAAACAGG